CUGACCUCAAAUCAGGUAGGACCACCCGCUGAACUUAAGCAUAUCAAUAAGCGGAGGAAAAGAAACUAACAAGGAUUCCCCUAGUAACUGCGAGUGAAGCGGGAAGAGCUCAAAUUUAAAAUCGGGCGGCCGGGAGGCCUUCCCGAGUUGUAGUCUGGAGAAGCGCUUUCGGCGCCGGACCGUGUACAAGUCCCCUGGAACGGGGCGUCGUAGAGGGUGAGAAUCCCGUCUCUGACACGGACGCCCGGUGCCCUGUGAUGCGCUCUCGAAGAGUCGAGUUGUUUGGGAAUGCAGCUCAAAAUGGGUGGUAAAUUCCAUCUAAAGCUAAAUAUUGGCGAGAGACCGAUAGCGAACAAGUACCGUGAGGGAAAGAUGAAAAGCACUUUGAAAAGAGAGUUAAACAGUACGUGAAAUUGCUGAAAGGGAAACGCUUGAAGCCAGUCGCGUCGUCCGGGACUCAGCCUCGCCAGGCGCACUUCCCGGUCGACGGGCCAGCAUCGAUUUUGACCGUCGGAGGAGGGCGGGAGGAACGUGGCACCCUCGGGUGUGUUAUAGCCUCCCGUCGGACGCGACGGUCGGGAUCGAGGAACUCGGCA
Molecule: ribosomal RNA, 596 nt
Filed under: Phaeolus schweinitzii
Lineage: Eukaryota; Fungi; Basidiomycota; Agaricomycetes; Polyporales; Phaeolaceae
Description: eukaryotic LSU rRNA
Rfam family: Eukaryotic large subunit ribosomal RNA
Source: RNAcentral